GACGAACGCUGGCGGCGUGCCUAAUACAUGCAAGUAGAACGCUGAAGAGAGGAGCUUGCUCUUCUUGGAUGAGUUGCGAACGGGUGAGUAACGCGUAGGUAACCUGCCUGGUAGCGGGGGAUAACUAUUGGAAACGAUAGCUAAUACCGCAUAAAAUGGAUUAUCGCAUGAUAAUCCAUUGAAAGGUGCAAAUGCAUCACUACCAGAUGGACCUGCGUUGUAUUAGCUAGUUGGUGGGGUAACGGCUCACCAAGGCGACGAUACAUAGCCGACCUGAGAGGGUGAUCGGCCACACUGGGACUGAGACACGGCCCAGACUCCUACGGGAGGCAGCAGUAGGGAAUCUUCGGCAAUGGACGGAAGUCUGACCGAGCAACGCCGCGGGAGUGAAGAAGGUUUUCGGAUCGUAAAGCUCUGUUGUAAGAGAAGAACGAGUGUGAGAGUGGAAAGUUCACACUGUGACGGUAUCUGACCAGAAAGGGACGGCUAACUACGUG
RNAcentral lists this ribosomal RNA (497 nucleotides) under uncultured bacterium. RNAcentral's name for it is "partial 16S ribosomal RNA". It matches the Rfam family "Bacterial small subunit ribosomal RNA", at positions 28 to 507 of the family's 1533-position model. The record is from RNAcentral.